RNAcentral lists this ribosomal RNA (440 nucleotides) under uncultured bacterium. Its description in RNAcentral is "partial 16S ribosomal RNA". It matches the Rfam family "Bacterial small subunit ribosomal RNA", at positions 338 to 795 of the family's 1533-position model. The record is from RNAcentral.
CCUACGGGUGGCAGCAGUGGGGAAUAUUGCACAAUGGGGGAAACCCUGAUGCAGCGACGCCGCGUGAGUGAAGAAGUAUCUCGGUACGUAAAGCUCCAUUAGCAGGGAAGAAAAUGACGGUACCUGUCUAAGAAGCCCCGUCUAACUACGUGACAGCAGCCGCGGCAAUACGUAGGGGGCAAGCGUUAUCCGGAUUUACCGGGUGUAAAGGGAGUGUAGACGGCAGCACAAGUCUGGAGUGAAAUCCCGGGGCUUAACCACGGAACUGCUUUGGAAACUGUGCGGCUGGAGUGCAGGAGAGGUAGGCGGAAUGCGUGGUGUAGCGGUGAAAUGCAUAGAUAUUAGGAAGAACACCGAUGGCGAAGGUGGCUUACUGGACUGUAACUGACGUUGAGGCUCGAAAGCGUGGGGAGCAAACAGGAUUAGAUACCCUUGUAGUC